CAGGAUUGAAGCACUCAGCAGUAGCGUAGAAAGUCACCGGCUUCGGUACGCUUAAAAUAGGCAAGAGAGCGUUGAAAACGUCGGAAUUUUCUGCCCACAUGUUAGAAAUUACAAGGCAUAAAGUUCAUUGCAUUUCUUUCGACAUUGCGUUGUCUCUUUGGCGCCGCAAAGCAUUCCGACGGAGUUGGGAAGCGCCACUGCACUUGUGCGUGUAUGUUGAAACCAAAAGCAAGGCCAUUGUGUAAUUGAAUUCGUACGCAUUACAUCAUCGUUAUUUUAAAUGAAAAGUACAUUCGUCAAUACUUUUGGCAUUAUGAUUGUAAUCUAUAUAUGAACAUUUACUUUGUCUCAAGAUAAAGAAUGGUGCGCAACGGAUAGCGUUCAGUGGAACCUUCUCCUCAGGUCUUGUUGGGUCACAGGUCCUUCUUCAAGUCGUAUAUAGGUAAUGUCCGUCAAAUCAGGACAUAUGAAGUGAUGCUCCGCCAAACAAAAUGCAGCAAUUCGUUUUAUUUAUAAAAUUUACUAAACAAAAAAUACAUGCAAGCUUAA
Molecule: long non-coding RNA, 549 nt
Organism: Dalotia coriaria
Lineage: Eukaryota; Metazoa; Arthropoda; Insecta; Coleoptera; Staphylinidae
Exons: 2
Source: RefSeq, a predicted model, not a curated record